RNAcentral lists this ribosomal RNA (253 nucleotides) under uncultured bacterium. Its description in RNAcentral is "partial 16S ribosomal RNA". It matches the Rfam family "Bacterial small subunit ribosomal RNA", at positions 524 to 776 of the family's 1533-position model. The record is from RNAcentral.
UACAGAGGUCCCAAGCGUUGUUCGGAUUCACUGGGCGUAAAGCGCACGUAGGCGGUUCGUUAUGUCGGAUGUGAAAGCCCUUGGCUUAACCGAGGAAGUGCAUCCGAAACUGGCGAGCUAGAGUACGAAAGAGGAUCGCGGAAUUCCCGGUGUAGAGGUGAAAUUCGUAGAUAUCGGGAGGAACACCGGUGGCGAAGGCGGCGAUCUGGGUCGAUACUGACGCUGAGGUGCGAAAGCGUGGGGAGCAAACAGG